AACGCACAUUGCGCCCUUUGGUAUUCCGAGGGGCACACCUGUUCGAGCGUCAUUUAAACCGUCAAGCACCGCUUGGUAUUGGGCGAGGUCUGGCGACCCGCCCGCAACCCGUUGGCGGCACUGUCCGGCUUCAAGCGUAGCAAAAUACCCGCUUUAGGAGCUCGCGACGGCGUUUGCCCGAUAAUUACCAUCUAAAGUUUGACCUCGGAUCAGGUGGGGAUACCCGCUGAACUUAA
RNAcentral lists this unclassified non-coding RNA (236 nucleotides) under uncultured fungus. Its description in RNAcentral is "sequence contains ITS2". Lineage: Eukaryota; Fungi. The record is from RNAcentral.